CCUACGGGAGGCAGCAGUAGGGAAUGUUCGGCAAUGGGGGGAACCCUGACCGAGCAACGCCGCGUGAAAGAAGAAGUUAGUCGGAAUGUAAAGUUCUUUUAACAGGGAAGAAAGAGAAAUUGGACGGUACCUGAAGAAUAAGCGCCGGCUAACUCCGUGCCAGCAGCCGCGGUAAGACGUAGGGAGCGAGCGUUAUCCGGAUUUAUUGGGCGUAAAGGGUGCGUAGAUGGCAUAGUAAGUCUUUUGUAAAAAUGCUGGGCUCAACCCAGUAGGGCAACAGAUACUGCAAAGCUAGAGUAUGACAGAGGCAAGUGGAACUACAUGUGUAGCGGUCAAAUGCGUACAUAUCUG
Molecule: ribosomal RNA, 351 nt
Filed under: uncultured bacterium
Lineage: Bacteria
Description: partial 16S ribosomal RNA
Rfam family: Bacterial small subunit ribosomal RNA
Source: RNAcentral